RNAcentral lists this small RNA (1915 nucleotides) under Rattus norvegicus (Norway rat). RNAcentral's name for it is "uncharacterized LOC102554186". Lineage: Eukaryota; Metazoa; Chordata; Mammalia; Rodentia; Muridae. The record is from RNAcentral.
GAGAGUUCAUGCAGCUGGAGUUACAGGUGAUUGUGAGCUGCCCAACCUGAGACCCUGGAUACUGGGAGCUGAGCUCAGAUCCUCUAGAAGAGCAGUAUGUUCUCAUAUCUGAGCUGUUUCUCCGGCCCCAAGUGUGACAAUAUUUCUUAGUUUCUAAUUCUUGAAACCUUAACCAUCGCUUAUUUAUCCAUUGUUCCAACUUUGGUAACAAACUUAACCCCGAAGUCUUUCUGUAAACACCAUCUGAAUUCUAUUUUCUGAUGGAAUACAGUCCAAGUUCUAGCAGUCUCCAAUCAUGACAAUUAUGCGUGGUUUAAUUUUACAUGGUAACAAUAUGGUUAAGACACAUAAUUCCCUUCCAGACUGAAGAGUUAGUAUCGGGGUAUGGCUUUCCCCUUGUAGCUCUCCAAUCUGCUGAUCCUGUACCCUCCAACACAAUAGCUUUCCCAGAAUAAAGUGCUUUAAUACAAUGAACAUACUGCUACCAAAUGCAAAUCCUGAUGUGUCCACCAAAUCACUUGAAUCCGGCCAAGAGUUGGAAUCGGCAGGCAGGUGAGAUAACACACACCUUCAACCCUAGCCCUGGGGAGACAGAGGCAGGCAGAUCUGGGAGUUCGAGGCCAGCCUAGCCUACAGAGCAAGUUCCAGGAUAGCCAGAGCUACACAGAAAAACCCUGACAAUAAACAAACAAAUAAAUGUGCUUCAUAAAUCUGCAGAUGCCCUGUACAUAAAAAUGAAGGAUGUUUUUGCUUGUAUCGUGCAACAGUUACAACACAAGGUGAUGUUUAGGAAGACAGCUUCUCUUCAGGACUUUGAAACUUCUCACAGGGUCGUGAAGACUUCUCAACUGCAAUGUCUUUGUCAGUUGUUUGUGAGCCGUAAUUCCUCUGCAGUCCAUCUCAAAGAUACUUGGUGAUUUAUCCUCUCUUGCAAAGCAGGCCUGUUUCUGUCAGCGGAUGUUGUAUCCGCAAGGUUCCCGAGACUUCAUCCAUAGACGCAAUCAGCUGGUCUGCCUACUUUCUUCUUCCAGUCAAGCUUUGACUAAAAUAAUACGAAUGCUGAGGACCCUACUGAUUAAGACCUUCAGUUUAGGAGGACAAGACAAAAGGUUUCAACUGCGUUUGAGGCAUACACUUCGAUAAGGCUUGUCAUGUGUACAUCACAAGAUGCUCUAGGACUACCUGCAAUCCAGCAAGCAAGAUGGCCGGACUGCAGUCUAGAAACUUUCAAGUCAAAAGAAACGAGUUACCAUAAGCUGAUUGAACCAUGCCUGUCCGUGAGCCUCUUUCCCUUCCCCAGGAACGAGAUGUGAAGCAGGAGUCUGCAGCUAUGCUGAUAUGUAUAUAGUGGAGAAGAUCCGAGUCUUCCUGGAAAGUUCUUGUGGGAUAGUAACUGUUAGGACACUAGCUAUCUGAGCAAAGGAUCAUCUUGUCAAAAGAAUGUCUUCCAAUUGCCUUUGAAUUCUGCAUCCUUUAAGUAAAGCCAUUGCAUCAGGAUUCAAAGCAGUUUUUAGAAAGCAAACGAUUUCUAUAUCAUACAUCUUCUUUUUCUUGGUUAUUUUGAAGAUGUAGCUCUUGAAUUUAAAAAAUAUGCCUUGUCUAAGUUAAGGAAGGAAUCUUACAAUGGUCACUUCUAAAUAUAAAGCAUAAACUCUUUUAUUGUACACUUUAUAACAGUCAAAUCUAAGAACCUAAAUAACGAGAAACAAGAAUUACUAAGACACCUGAUUUAAACUGAAUGUUUUAACUAUUCUUUGGCUUAGAUUAUUUUCUUUUCUCUUUUUGUUAUGUCUCUGAAUUAAAAAAGACAAUGAGAGGCCAGGAAAAAUGAAAAAAGUGCUACCAAGAUGUGACAAGCAGUCAUGCAAACAAGAAUUGUUCACUUUCUUGGAAAAUAAAAAAUAAAAAAAACUUA